Non-coding RNA from Caenorhabditis elegans, 231 nucleotides. Lineage: Eukaryota; Metazoa; Nematoda; Chromadorea; Rhabditida; Rhabditidae. The record is from Ensembl.
CCAACACUGUAUUCGUGUUUUUUCUCACAGGUACCUUUCUACCUUCUUUUGCCAAUGUCACACACUGAUUUUAAUUACUUUUCGGGCCGGCGACAACACAUUGUAACGCACGGGUGCCCCCUCUUACAUACUCUGACCAUUCCAUUCGAGAAACUCUUUUCUUACGUGCUACUGCGUUUGCCUUGACCCCCGCGCACGCUUUUUACGCUAAUUUCGUAUCAAAAAACGAAG